Molecule: ribosomal RNA, 445 nt
Filed under: uncultured Pelotomaculum sp.
Lineage: Bacteria; Bacillati; Bacillota; Clostridia; Eubacteriales; Desulfotomaculaceae
Description: bacterial SSU rRNA
Rfam family: Bacterial small subunit ribosomal RNA
Source: RNAcentral
UACCUACGGGGGGCUGCAGUGGGGAAUCUUCCGCAAUGGGCGCAAGCCUGACGGAGCAACGCCGCGUGAGUGAUGAAGGCCUUCGGGUUGUAAAACUCUGUCUUCAGGGAAGAAAAAAAUGACGGUACCUGAGGAGGAAGCCCCGGCUAACUACGUGCCAGCAGCCGCGGUAAAACGUAGGGGGCAAGCGUUGUCCGGAAUUACUGGGCGUAAAGGGCGCGUAGGCGGUUAUUUAAGUCAGAGGUGAAAACUCCGGGCUCAACUCGGAGCCUGACUCUGAAACUGGGUGACUUGAGGGCAGGAGAGGGGAGUGGAAUUCCCAGUGUAGCGGUGAAAUGCGUAGAUAUUGGGAGGAACACCAGUGGCGAAGGCGACUCUCUGGCCUGUUACUGACGCUGAGGCGCGAAAGCGUGGGGAGCAAACGGGAUUAGAUACCCCAGUAGUC